CGGUUCGAGUCCGCUUACCUCCACUGAUCAACUACCUGAUAACUCAAAUUGGAGAUUGUCAUUUGUUAAAUGUGAUUUAGAUGUUGUUCAUCUGAAGGAACCUAGCUUCCUAUCACUCCUGAAAUAAUUUUAGGCUGAUAAGACGCUGGGCUCACUGAAUGUUCUAAGAGCAUUCAGUUUGUUUCAGCA
RNAcentral lists this unclassified non-coding RNA (189 nucleotides) under uncultured cyanobacterium. Its description in RNAcentral is "partial 16S-23S ribosomal RNA intergenic spacer". The record is from RNAcentral. Lineage: Bacteria; Bacillati; Cyanobacteriota.